Molecule: ribosomal RNA, 253 nt
Filed under: uncultured bacterium
Lineage: Bacteria
Description: partial 16S ribosomal RNA
Rfam family: Bacterial small subunit ribosomal RNA
Source: RNAcentral
UACGUAGGAUGCAAGCGUUGUCCGGAAUUAUUGGGCGUAAAGAGCGCGCAGGCGGUCUGACAAGUCAGAUGUGAAAUAGGCCGGCUUAACCGGCAAGGGUCAUUUGAAACUGUCAGACUAGAGUGCAGCAGAGGAUAGUGGAAUUCCCGGUGUAGUGGUGAAAUGCGUAGAUAUCGGGAGGAACACCAGUGGCGAAGGCGACUAUCUGGGCUGCAACUGACGCUGAGGCGCGAAGGCUAGGGUAGCAAACAGG